This 3420-nucleotide long non-coding RNA is filed under the name Heterocephalus glaber (naked mole-rat). RNAcentral describes it as "lncRNA (ENSHGLG00000043414.1)". The stretch from base 963 to 1054 matches the Rfam family "Small nucleolar RNA SNORD116". Lineage: Eukaryota; Metazoa; Chordata; Mammalia; Rodentia; Bathyergidae. The record is from RNAcentral.
CGUUGCUGGUCUUCUCCAUUAGGUUUUCCUCUUAGAGGAACAGGUUUGAAGUCUCCCUGUGGGAAGUACACUCCCCCCGUCCCCUGUCCCUUGUUCAGAGGAUGCAGGUCCACUGUCAGUCAGUGUGCAGUCCCUCUGUUGGAGGCGCUGUUGCCCGAGGACAUGGGGCCCGGACUGCAGUGCACACAGAUGAUGGAGUUAUGUUGCAAAGGGCCCUUGCUGUGCUGCUGUGCCUGGGAGGGGCCCAACAUGAGUCUGGCCAAGAGCAGCACUCCGCAGAUGUUGGCCAGAGAGAGGCAGACACACGCCCAGUGAAGCACACACCUCAGUCAUCCUGUGCACACAUGGAAGCAACACACUCAUGCACAUGGAGGAUCCCCAGGGCCAGUCACUGUGGUAGCCACGCUGUCAGCUGAGUGUUUCCCGUUCCUGUCCCCUGGAGCAGCCUAGGAGGGCUGCAGGCCUGUGUCCUCCCGUUGAGCUCCAGGCCUGUGGAGUGCGCAGGAUGGUUAAAGUUUGGAACGAGUCACAGUACAUUAGGGAAAUGAGGUGGAGGAGGCCUACUGUGAGAGCCCCGUGUCAGAAAGCAAAGGAAAAGCUGCUGUUAUGGGGCGUGCCGUCAGCCAAGUGUUCCUGUUUCCUGAGGAGUGGAGCAGCCGUGGAGUGCUACAAGCCUUGUGUCUUCUUGCUGAGCUCUGGGCCUGUGGACGGAUGGUUGAGGGUGGUAAUAAUUUCAUGGUGCAGCCUGGAAAGGUCUUUGUCAAGAGAUUAUGGAGCCCUGAAGACCUCUGUCUCUGCAGGGCUGAGACAUAACACGGGGUUUCAGACCUCACGUGGACGGGGUUCCGGGGCACAGUGCCUCGGACCUUGGUGUCUCCCAAGGCCCUGGGGGUCCUCUAGGUGGAGGUCUUGUGUAGUCCCCCUUGGACAGGUAGGCCCCUGAGCCGUCUCUCUGCAUGCUUGGAUCAAUGAUGAUAACCCAAAAAACAUUCCUUGGAAAAGCUGAACAAAAUGAGAGAACUGCAAACCGUCGUUCUCAUCAUGACUGAGGUCCGGUACGUGUCCUCAUGCGGAGAUGGCAGGAGCGCGGGUGCACGUUCAUGUGCUGAAGUUUGUCAGGCCACCCAGGGAUGCAUCUUAGGGCAGCUUCCUGUGCCCAGAGCCUUAGGCAGGUGGUUUUAGUGGGGUAGGUCCAGCUGGACGAGACCUGGGUUGAAUCGAUCCCAACCUGUUUGUUGGCUGUGUUGGCAACAGACGGGACACCUGGCCUGGCCCAGCCCGGCCUGACCCAACCCAACACAGUUUCCCCUCAGCCCUGUUUUGGUUGGUGUAGUCCCUGCCUCGGUGGGCACUGGUGAGGCCGGACACUGCUCAGGACCAGGUCUGGUUCUCCUGGGAGAGGAUCCCGCUAGCCGUUGUGGAGAUUAUGGCGCCAUGGGAGAGGUGGUUGACUGUGGACAGGGCCUAGGUUCAUUGUGUGAGUGGAACAGGAACGGGAACCUGGAAUUGGCUGGGGACUCCUCUUUGCCACUGCCACGGAGACGAAGCAUUCAGGCUGUGGCUCACCUUUGACAGUUGGUGCAAACUGGGGAGAUGCCAGGAAAUCCAGGAGGCGCUCUUCGCUUUGGGUCCCUCGGCAGGGGUAACCCAGAGCAAGUGUCCCGCAGCGGGGGUGGAGCUCAGUGUCACCCGCUGCAGCUGGGAUUUGCACUUGUGCUCCUGUGCCCACCGAAGGCGCCCUUACGUUUACCGCUGGUGGCAGUCUGUGGCAUCCCUAGUGCCCCACCUCGGAAAUAGCAGGGAAAGGUGUAGGAUGGAUGUGCCCUGGGGCUCUCCCUGUGGGCCAGCCCUGACUUUCGCUGAAGGUCCUGGAGCAGUGUGCUGCAGACUUGCCUUGCUGUGGCCUUGCAAGAGGAGGUCCCUUGGUGCCAUUCAGGGCCAGCUCUCCCAGAUGGACGUUGGGGCAGGAGAAAUGUGUCUGUGUUCCGGAGUACUGUGCUGGGAGUUGUGUCUGUGGGCAGGUGUCACUCUCUGCUGUCCCUAUGCCGCGAGGGAACUGGCCUACCCGGUCCUGGGUGGGGUUGGCGUUUGUCUGCGUCAAGCCCAUAUCAGCCCCCUUGCCCUGAGGUCCAGUCCCCACGGUUGGCCUCCCCAUGGAAGGUAUCCACCAGCUGGCCUUACUGCGGGCCUCCCUGGCAUGAUGCCGGCCUGGUUUGAGCUUUCCUAAGGUGCGUGGAGUCCACAGACACCUGUAGAAAGAGGGGGCCAUGCUGCGUCUGGCCCCGCAGGUCUCAUGAGGCGGACUUGAGCUGCAGAGGUCCCAAGCUCGUCACUUGGAGGCAUUCUGUUGCCUGCGCGGGGCUCCGGCACCAGGGAAGCUACUGUGUCAGGCCUUGUGGGUGAUGAAGUUGUCUUUGGAAGUCCACAGAAGAAGCACGCUUGCUGUGAGUGUGGCCAGAGCCUGGAAAGUAGUAUUCCUCCUUCUCCUGGGGUCGGCAGUCCCGUGGUACCUGCUUGUCAUCGCCUGAGUCCAGUGGGGAUGCCCCACUGAGAAGCCCCACGUCCCCUGCUUCCCAGGUGGAAGGGGUCGCAUGCACAUUGUGUCACAUUGGGCCCCGGCUUCUGUCCUCAGGGCAGCAGACAUGUCUGCAUUCCUGGCCUGGGAUUCCCUAGCUGGUGCCACCGUCUGCCUUCCACGUGAGGCCUGCUUUUCCAGAAGGGUGAAGGAGGGGUCUCUUCUCACCUCGUAGGGCACCCCACCUCAUCCCCUCACCCAGCCUUCAAAGGUCCAUAGCACCUGUGAUCUGACUUGUCAGUAUGGCCCUUGAAGGUGAGGUGGCACCCCCGUUCGCCAUCCUCAGGUUAUGGGAGAUGGUGUGCUGUAGGCCGAGGGCCCUCGGUGAGCAGCUGUGCCCAGGAAGGGCCCAGGUCAGGUUGCAGUUUGCAAUGAGGGCCUGGGGAGGGCCGCAGGGCAUCAGGGAGAGAAUGUAGGCCCAUGCGGGGGACGCUCCUGAGCCAUCACAGGAAGGACAAGCAGAUGGCAGAGUUAGCGCGAAGGUCAGGGCGGCCCUGGAUAGCUGGAAUGGAUGCCUUUGUCUCCCUCAUGUACGGUGUUUUGUGUCCCUGCUGCUUAGGAGGAGUUGCCACAGCUGGCUGGGCUUCAGCUGUGUGUUUCUGGUUGCGCGAUCCAGAAGGGAUAUGGAAUUGCUGCAAGGGAUGUGCUCUGUUGAUUAUGCACUGUAGUCAGCAUCCCUGGCAUAUAUGUGCACAUUUAUUUUCUUGGAAUUUCCAGCUGGUGGCCAUUAUUUGCCUUUCACAAUGUUUUUUUUUUUUUUUCCCAAGAAGGGGAAAAUGCGGUCACGUCUCACCCUUGUUGGAUACCCUACCCAGUUCCCCAAUCCAGCCUUUGUUAUUCAGAUA